This 484-nucleotide ribosomal RNA is filed under the name uncultured bacterium. RNAcentral describes it as "partial 16S ribosomal RNA". It matches the Rfam family "Bacterial small subunit ribosomal RNA", at positions 30 to 507 of the family's 1533-position model. The record is from RNAcentral.
AUUGAACGCUGGCGGCAUGCCUUACACAUGCAAGUCGAACGGCAGCGCGGGAGCAAUCCUGGCGGCGAGUGGCGAACGGGUGAGUAAUACAUCGGAACGUGCCCAAUCGUGGGGGAUAACGCAGCGAAAGCUGUGCUAAUACCGCAUACGAUCUACGGAUGAAAGCAGGGGAUCGCCAGACCUUGCGCGCAUGGAGCGGCCGAUGGCGGAUUAGGUAGUUGGUGAGGUAAAGGCUCACCAAGCCUUCGAUCUGUAGCUGGUCUGAGAGGACGACCAGCCACACUGGGACUGAGACACGGCCCAGACUCCUACGGGAGGCAGCAGUGGGGAAUUUUGGACAAUGGGCGAAAGCCUGAUCCAGCCAUGCCGCGUGCAGGAUGAAGGCCUUCGGGUUGUAAACUGCUGUUGUACGGAACGAAACGGUCUUUUCUAAUAAAGAAGGCUAAUGACGGUACCGUAAGAAUAAGCACCGGCUAACUACGUG